AGCAAUUAGGUCAUUGAGAUCUUAGAAAGACUCCCUGGUGUCUCCAGGGAAGUAAAGAGUCUACUAAACAACAAGAUUCUUAUCAAGAAAGGUGGUGACCCUGCUUAAUUUCCAAAAGAAGAGGUGUCGAGGCUCAGAUCGGUGUGUGAGUCCUAUGCUCUGGAAAGAAGAUCCUAUUCCACCAUUCUAACUGUGGGCAGGAACAAGCUGUUGCUUAAUGAACAAGAUGCUCAAAGAGCAUGUCAGACAAGGAAUGUCUUUUUACAGUCGUUACGUUGCCACCAGUACUGAACAGGCGUUCUACUGCAGCGCUUGAAGGCAUGCCUGUGUUGUGCUGCAAAAAACACCGCAGCACACGUGGAAAGCCAUGGAGUGAUGACACCUCCCUGCUGGGAGACCUCAGUUUAUCUGGACAUCCCCGGUGAUUGGACCACUGCCCUGUUGGCUGCUAUUGGUGCCAGAUCUUGAGACAGACUCUUCCUCAUUGCAACAGGAACUGCUGGAUCAGUUCAAAUUGCCUGUGAGUGAAUUCCUCCACAGUCCCCAUUCAGCAGAGUCUGUGCGAAAAGAACAGUCAGAAACCAUGGUCAGUGAUGUCAUGAGAGGAAGAAAUGGCUUGGAGGAGAACUCUACAGUCAAUCCGCCACAGAACCAACAGGGACAUCACCAGAGAACACCCAAGGCCAAAGUGAGAUGUCUCUCCUUGACCUUGAUAACUUUGGUGGAGACCUUGGUGGAGAAACUUUGGUGGAGACUUUUGAACUCAUUGUGGAGAACAUUGUCCUGUUGAUUGGCUGUAAAAGUAACAGGGAGGCUGAGCAUGCCUUCAAGGAAUGGAACAAGGCCAACCCUAUCAGUAGAUGGUGCAACAGCUGUGGGAAGUUCUGUUGCAAGGGCAACAGCACGGUGGAAAUUAUGCAUGUGUGAGGUGUCAAUAGGCUGGCGCAAACUAUAUAAUAUUGUCUGAGGACAUUUCUCUAACCAAGGGCAGUUUUCUUGCAGUUUCUUAACGAGGUUAGAAAAACAUCCCACAAAUCCAAUAACAUUAGUUCUCAGUUGUAACAAAGUUUUUUCUAGACAGUUUACAAUAUUUUAAUAAUAUUUUCACUUUAUAAGAUUUUUUGUUGUUUGUAAUUGAAAAUAAAAAGAAUAGCUCAGUGUUUCCCAAACUUUUUUAUUUUUUUUGUUUCUGGACUACAACUCCCAUCAGCCCCAGCCAGCAUGGCCAAUGGUCAGGAAUUAUGGGAACUGUAGUCCAGCAACAAAAAUUUUUUAAAAAGUUUGGGAAACACUGUAAAGGAACAGAAAUUGUGUUGUUUAUUCAAUAUGCAGGGGGAGGGGCAAACAUUUACUUCACAGAAAAAUUCUGCCUCCUUUGAACAAGUGUUUUCUGGCUCUGGGUGCUUGGGUAUUGUCAAGCACACCUGACACCACAGACACAAAUGUUACCUGUGGUCAAAAUAUCACCCAGCAUACAAUGGAAAUCUCAUUGAGGUAGAAAAUACAUCCCCAAAACCGUUAGUGUGAUUUUCUUUUUACAAGAAUCCUUAAAUUUAGUUGUUUAGGUGAUGGGCAACCUUUUAAUCUUAACAAGUGGAGCCCACAUAUCAAAUGUCAUAUGCUGUCCAUGCUUUCUCCUGUUUAGGUAAAGAUAACCAGUGGCAUGGAUCCAGCUGAAGUCAGUCACAGCAGUCCCUAUGAAAUCAGUGGGGAUUAUUUAGUUGGAUCCAAGCCACUGAGGCUGCAAUCCAAAAUAUGUCUACUCAGAGGUAAGCUCCAUUAGGUUCAAUGGGACUUACUCCCAGGUAUGUGUGUAUUGGAUUGCAGCCUAAGCCAUAUUGCCAAUAACAAUGAGAGACAGAAUGAGAUGAUGGGUUAAUGAUUAUUUUGUUGUCCAAAGAAGUACAGCAGUGGCAUUUUCAUGAGAUGAAUCUGGUGUUAAGUAUACAUGCUGACCUAAAUAUAUUAUUUAGAUUUCUUUGUUUGUGUUUUUUUUUUUAGUAUUAUGACAUGUGGUAGACAUUUGUGAUUUUGACCUAUAAGUCGUCUCAUUGUUCAGGGCAGGGGUAAGAGGUGUCUCAUCGCCACCAGAAUGUCUCUUGUCACUUUUAAGGGGGGGGGGCUUAACCUGGCCCACCAACAGCAGAAGACCUUUUUUCUUUCUAAUAGAUUGAACACCUUUAAUGUUUUGAUUUAUUUAUAGCAAGUGUAACCUCGUAGCUAAAAAUAGAACAAAUUAUUAGAGUUUGUUUCUCUGCAUACCAAGUAAAGCUUCAGAAAUCUUAACUCUUUGUAAACCAAGUUAUUUAGUUUCUCGUUCAUGCAUUUCUCAGUAUUUAGCCUGUCUCCUAUGGUGGCCUACAAAAAUCUAAGAACAUUAAGUACAAAAUUGCAUACCACAAGGAAGUCAUGGAAAUAAAUUACAACAUCCAUGAAAACAACUUCUGCGACAUGAUCCCAGUCUUGCCUGUUGCAAAUUAAAUGCCACUGAGUUUAAUGAGGUAUACUUUCAUGUAAGUGGCUAUAGGAUUGCAGCCUAAAUCCUUUAUCUUAUUAACUGUCUAUGUUACAUCUUCUGGUAAAUUUGAUUUAAAAGACAAAUAUCUAGAGUAUUUAUUCAUUUGGGACACAACUAGGCCAAAAUCUAUUAAGGAGAAACAGAACAUGUUGUAAGUUAGAGUCUGCAAUAUGUCCAUCUGCCUUGUGCUCCUAGUGGGAGGAAGGGCGAAAUAUAAAUCUAAUAAAUAAAUAAAAUUUAUUCUGACAAUAGAUAUAUUAAAUACCAUUGCAUGUCAACUAUCAAAGAUGGUCAGAUAUCAAAUGUUAAAAUAAAAUAUUGAAAUCCUA
Molecule: long non-coding RNA, 2847 nt
Organism: Rhineura floridana
Lineage: Eukaryota; Metazoa; Chordata; Lepidosauria; Squamata; Rhineuridae
Exons: 5
Source: RefSeq, a predicted model, not a curated record